GGGCCCGCACAAGCGGCGGAGCAUGUGGCUUAAUUCGACGCAACGCGAAGAACCUUACCAAGGCUUGACAUAUACCGAAAACUCAUAGAGAUAUGGGGUCCGCAAGGGCGGUAUACAGGUGGUGCA
This 126-nucleotide ribosomal RNA is filed under the name uncultured bacterium. Its description in RNAcentral is "partial 16S ribosomal RNA". It matches the Rfam family "Bacterial small subunit ribosomal RNA", at positions 917 to 1045 of the family's 1533-position model. The record is from RNAcentral.